This 301-nucleotide ribosomal RNA is filed under the name uncultured bacterium. RNAcentral describes it as "partial 16S ribosomal RNA". It matches the Rfam family "Bacterial small subunit ribosomal RNA", at positions 509 to 808 of the family's 1533-position model. The record is from RNAcentral.
CAGUCGCCACGGGAAUACGUAGGUGGCAAGCGUUGUCCGGAAUUAUUGGGCGUAAAGCGCGCGCAGGUGGUUUAAUAAGUCUGAUGUGAAAGCCCACGGCUCAACCGUGGAGGGUCAUUGGAAACUGUUAAACUUGAGUGCAGGAGAGAAAAGUGGAAUUCCUAGUGUAGCGGUGAGAUGCGUAGAGAUUAGGAGGAACACCAGUGGCGAAGGCGGCUUUUUGGUCUGUCACUGACGCUGAGGCUCGAAAGCGUGGGUAGCGAACAGGAUUAGAUACCCCAGUAGUCCCUGUCUCUAUACA